RNAcentral lists this ribosomal RNA (253 nucleotides) under uncultured Staphylococcus sp. Its description in RNAcentral is "partial 16S ribosomal RNA". It matches the Rfam family "Bacterial small subunit ribosomal RNA", at positions 108 to 355 of the family's 1533-position model. The record is from RNAcentral. Lineage: Bacteria; Bacillati; Bacillota; Bacilli; Caryophanales; Staphylococcaceae.
ANGUAACACGUGGAUAACCUACCUAUAAGACUGGAUAACUUCGGGAAACCGGAGCUAAUACCGGAUAAUAUAUUGAACCGCAUGGUUCAAUAGUGAAAGACGGUUUUGCUGUCACUUAUAGAUGGAUCCGCGCCGCAUUAGCUAGUUGGUAAGGUAACGGCUUACCAAGGCAGCGAUGCGUAGCCGACCUGAGAGGGUGAUCGGCCACACUGGAACUGAGACACGGUCCAGACUCCUACGGGAGGCAGCAGCC